UCAAUAGCCUAACGUGAACCMACAACUUGGAAGAAGGUAUAGCAAUAGMUAAUUGUAUUAGCAAAUAGUUUUUACAAUAUCGAUUUAAUMGAMUAAAAUUCUAGGUAGAUUUAUGAUGAUGACAUUAUCUAUCUAUGUGUCUUGACCAAAUUUCGUGCCAGCAGUCGCGGUAAGACGUAAGAGACUAGUGUUAUUCAUCUUUAAUAGGUUUAAAGCGUACCUAGACGGUAAUUAAAGCCUAUAUCAGGAACUUGUUUACUAGAGUUAAAUGUAAGGGUGUAUUAAAGUACUGUUGAGUGUAGAGAUGAAAUUCGUUGAUACCAAAUAAUUGGCACAGGUAUAGGCGAAAGCAUCACUUUAUGUAAUAACUGACGUUGACGGACGAAGGCUUUGUGUCGCGAACAGGAUUAGAUACCCCAGUAGUCUUAGCAGAAAACUAUGAGUGUCAUAGGUUAGAUUUUAUUUGGUCUAUAAAUGAAAGUGUAAGCACUCCACCUCAAGAGUAAUUUGGCAACAUUGGAACUGAAAUCAUUAGACCGUUUCUGAAACCAGUASUGAAGUAUGUUGUUUAAUUUGAUAAUCCGCAAAGARCCUUACCACAAYUYGAAUAUAAAUGAWUUAWUUUUACAMGSGUUGCRCGGCUGUSUUCWGUUAAWRUSKUGAGAUAUUGGUUUAUUCCMYUAAAWUAAMGUAAACCCGUASUUUAUUUUUAUA
This 714-nucleotide ribosomal RNA is filed under the name Fuscopannaria confusa. RNAcentral describes it as "partial small subunit ribosomal RNA". It matches the Rfam family "Bacterial small subunit ribosomal RNA", at positions 375 to 1121 of the family's 1533-position model. Lineage: Eukaryota; Fungi; Ascomycota; Lecanoromycetes; Peltigerales; Pannariaceae. The record is from RNAcentral.